GAUGAACGCUGGCGGCGUGCUUAACACAUGCAAGUCGAGCGAGAAGGUUAUGAACGAUUCUUCGGAUGAAUGAUUAACUAGAAAGCGGCGGACGGGUGAGUAACGCGUGGGUAACCUGCCCCAUACAAAGGGAUAGCCACUGGAAACGGUGAUUAAUACCUUAUAUUGCUUAAGAACCGCAUGGUUCAUAAGUGAAAGAUUUUAUCGGUAUGGGAUGGACCCGCGUCUGAUUAGCUAGUUGGUAAGGUAACGGCUUACCAAGGCGACGAUCAGUAGCCGGCCUGAGAGGGUGAACGGCCACACUGGAACUGAGACACGGUCCAGACUCCUACGGGAGGCAGCAGUGGGGAAUAUUGCACAAUGGGCGCAAGCCUGAUGCAGCAACGCCGCGUGAGCGAAGAAGGCCUUCGGGUCGUAAAGCUCUGUCCUCAGGGAAGAAUACAUGACGGUACCUGAGGAGGAAGCCCCGGCUAACUACG
RNAcentral lists this ribosomal RNA (479 nucleotides) under uncultured Eubacteriales bacterium. Its description in RNAcentral is "bacterial SSU rRNA". It matches the Rfam family "Bacterial small subunit ribosomal RNA", at positions 28 to 505 of the family's 1533-position model. Lineage: Bacteria; Bacillati; Bacillota; Clostridia; Eubacteriales. The record is from RNAcentral.